AUGAUCUGGCCCCAGUCUGUCUUUGCAGACUCAAUUUACUUUUUAUGUACUCUUUAUUACAGCCAACUUGGACUCUUUCCCAUUCAUAGGGUCAUAGAUUUCCUAAAAAGACACUGUAGAAGCCAUCAAACCCAAACCCUUCAUGGUACAGAUCGGGAAGCUGAGAAACGCCCUGGACUACAAGAGAUGGCAGCUAUGGAGAGAGGAAACAUUUGGUGGGAAGGGAAACUCCUAAAGCCCAUUCUUCUGGAAGAAAUUCAGGAGGCCCAACAUUGGAGCGUGUCAUGCUAGAACUGAAGAAAUAGUAAAAAGGAGAGCCACAACCAAUCAACAAGCAUUUACUGCGUUACUACCAGGUGCCAAGCACCAGGAAAUCAAAUCAAAAUGAAAGUUUUCUUCUCUUAAGGAGUUUACAUCUUCUUUGGGGAGACAAAAUCACAUGUAAGUAUGUAACAGAUAAUGACAAAUUAAACACAAGAUUGUUUGGAGAGAAACCACUAGCAAUUGAGAAGAUCCCAAUUUAUGAUGGUGCUUGUAGGAAGGAAGUGUGAACAAAUAAGAGGUAAAGAGAAAGUGCAUUCCAGACACUACAUGUCAGCCAGUGGGAAAGCACAAAGAUGAAAGAUGAAGUAGUGGGUGGGAAAUAUAGGAAGAAGGUUACUUUGGCAAAAGUGAACUGUGUGGGGAAGGGAGUGAUACAGAAUGGGGCUGGAGAGGUCAGUUGGAACCAUAUUGUGAAGGGUUUUAAAAGCCCAACAGAGGAAAGCAUUUUACCCUUGAGCCACUGAAGCUUACUGAGUAGGAGAAUGACAAGGCUAAGAAAAACAGUUUGGAAGAUUAAAACCUCAAUUUUGCUUUCUCCUACUACUAUUAGUGAUUCAGAUGGGCUGGUCUGAUGGGGAAAGAGUUGUCUAACACACAUGGAUUUCCUUCUGGAGUGGGUACAGAUCCUUGGGCUAUUUACCAGUCUAUAGGCUCAUCUCUCUAACAACCCCUGGUGUGUGUCCUAAGCUACCUAAACUAGCCACAGUGGAUUCAGAUUCUGCCAGGAAAGGGCACAUUGGAAUACUGAUCAUCAUCAUGGUUUAUUAGUCUAAAGGGCAGAAGUGAUUGGACAGAUCAAUCCAGUGACACAGUAGGAUACAUACAUACAUACAUAUAUAUAUACAUACCCAUCUGUACUAACAGUAAUCAAGGGUAGGUUGGAGUGCCAGUCUGUGUGGGAGGACAGAGACCACACAUCCACAUCAACUCAUAAGAAGUCUUUUUCCCAAGCACCACCAACAUCGAGCCAUCUCCUGGUGGAGUGGGUGCCAUGCUAUUGAAGCUUGGGCAUUUUAUUAUCUCACAGUGGGUUAUCAGGAGGCCAGCUGCAGAGUUCACACCAUUGCAUUUUCCAAAUGAUAGUGUUCCUAUUGAGGAAGGGAUCCCCUUUCAAUGGGAAUGACUUUUAGGUCCAACCUUGCUACUCAAUCACAGCCCUUGUAGGGGUAGUCUAAAGAAGACAGAUACUUCCUAGCUAAGUGACCCUGGGAAAGUCACUUGACCCCACUUGCCUAGCCUUUACAACGCUGCCUUGGAACCAAUACUUAGUAUUGAUGCUAAGAAGAUAAGAGAUUUUUUAAAUGUCAAAAAACCUGAACACCAUAAUGCAAAAAGUUAUCCAAAAAAGGCACAAACUUUCUGAAUAUAUAAAACAAAAACCACCAGUUCCUAGGAGCCAUAGACAGAGUUCAAAAUACAUAAAUUAUGUUGUAAACUUCAAGCAACAAAAAUUGGAAGACUUUAAAAUACAAAGGAAAGUAAAUUAUAAUUUUUAAAAAUACUUCUUCACUUAUCAGAAACCACAGGAAGGAAUAGAUUCAUAUAUAUGUUUGUAUAUGUGUGUGGAAGAAAAAACAUCUGAAAUACAAAGGAAAAUAAGGCAUAAAGAUAGAAUGAAACAGAAAUAGUAUUUUCAAACCUCACUACAAAGCAGAAGUAAGGCUAAACCAUUUUGUACAGUUUUUUUAAAGAAAAUACAGAUAUGUAUCAAUGGAAUAAAUCUAGAUAAGAAAGAAUCA
This is a long non-coding RNA of Monodelphis domestica (gray short-tailed opossum), 2063 nucleotides long. Lineage: Eukaryota; Metazoa; Chordata; Mammalia; Didelphimorphia; Didelphidae. The record is from Ensembl.